CUCUUUUAUUCUUCUUCAUCAUCUUUCUCUCUUUUCUUUUAUCAUCUUUCUUCUAACAAUGGUGCCUGCCGUCAAAAUCAGCCGCCGCCACCACCAAUCUCGUUUAACUCCUCUAAUUGAUUCUGAUUCAAAACGUACCCCAUCCGUUAUAAAGUAAGAUCAUCCUUCAAGAGAAAGAGGAAUAUAUGUAAUCUCCUUGUCCAAAAACCAACUGCAACUCAAAGUACUAAUUCCAGAUCCAUAGCAACAACAAUUUGGAUGAGGAUCGAACCCAAAUUUGAUUGCCAGCAGCAAAUAGGCUUUAUUGACUAAAGGAAUUAUUUUAGAUCUAAAAUGUAUGUAAAUUCGAUUCAACAAAAUGUGGAUCCAUAGGCUUUUCUUGUAAAGGUUCAUUGUUUUUUGAACUACUGAUUGAAUUGUAAUUUUUGUUUACCGGAAAUUAUAUAAUCAUUUUCUCA
Long non-coding RNA from Papaver somniferum (opium poppy), 458 nucleotides. RefSeq lists it as uncharacterized. Lineage: Eukaryota; Viridiplantae; Streptophyta; Magnoliopsida; Ranunculales; Papaveraceae. The transcript has 2 exons. The record is from RefSeq and is a predicted model, not a curated record.